Molecule: ribosomal RNA, 388 nt
Filed under: uncultured bacterium
Lineage: Bacteria
Description: bacterial SSU rRNA
Rfam family: Bacterial small subunit ribosomal RNA
Source: RNAcentral
GACGAACGCUGGCGGCGUGCUUAACACAUGCAAGUCGAGCGGUAAGGCCCUUUCGGGGGUACACGAGCGGCGAACGGGUGAGUAACACGUGGGUGACCUGCCCUCAGCUCUGGGAUAAGCCUGGGAAACCGGGUCUAAUACCGGAUAUGACUCCAUGACGCAUGUUGUGGGGUGGAAAGCCUUGUGCGGCUGAGGAUGGGCCCGCGGCCUAUCAGCUUGUUGGUGGGGUGAUGGCCUACCAAGGCGACGACGGGUAGCCGGCCUGAGAGGGCGACCGGCCACACUGGGACUGAGACACGGCCCAGACUCCUACGGGAGGCAGCAGUGGGGAAUCUUGCGCAAUGGGCGAAAGCCUGACGCAGCGACGCCGCGUGAGGGAAGAAGGCCU